This 253-nucleotide ribosomal RNA is filed under the name uncultured bacterium. RNAcentral's name for it is "partial 16S ribosomal RNA". It matches the Rfam family "Bacterial small subunit ribosomal RNA", at positions 524 to 776 of the family's 1533-position model. The record is from RNAcentral.
UACGUAGGAGGCAAGCGUUGUCCGGAAUCACUGGGCGUAAAGCGCGUGUAGGUGGAGCAGGAAGUCUGCUGUGAAAGCGCCUGGCUUAACCGGGCGAGGUCGGUGGAAACUCCUGGUCUAGAGGCCGGUAGAGGGGGGUGGAAUUCCGGGUGUAGUGGUGAAAUGCGUAGAGAUCCGGAGGAACACCCGUGGUGUAGACAGCUUACUGGACCACUUCUGACGCUGAGACACGAAAGCGUGGGUAGCAAACAGG